This 268-nucleotide long non-coding RNA is filed under the name Physcomitrium patens. RNAcentral's name for it is "long non-coding RNA (PPAT_LNC013911)". The record is from RNAcentral. Lineage: Eukaryota; Viridiplantae; Streptophyta; Bryopsida; Funariales; Funariaceae.
AAUCACAUUUCCAUUCCAUAAUUCACUUCACAAUAUUCAAAAACUUUCAAUCCUCUUAUUCAAAGAAAAUAACAAACAAAAGAAAAGAAGUAGCACCAAGCUUACCCCGACUCACAACUAUCACAGCGAUGGCCCUCGGCUCAUGACUAUUACAGUCUCGCACCUUAAUUAACUUUUACAACUCCUAUAUACUUUCUCCUGAUUCUCCAGAUUCUAACUAUGAUUCUGUAAUUAAUCACUUUUAAGAACUAAAUCACUCAUCCGUCCU